Molecule: long non-coding RNA, 346 nt
Organism: Micropterus dolomieu (smallmouth bass)
Lineage: Eukaryota; Metazoa; Chordata; Actinopteri; Centrarchiformes; Centrarchidae
Exons: 4
Source: RefSeq, a predicted model, not a curated record
CUCCUACGUUCACCCUCAGCAUCUUAGAGACAGUUUGGAGAGUGAUUUAACCUGUGGAAUCGCAAGUUUUGGGAGGGUGAGACAGUUCACCUGGACUACACAGGGAAAGAUGAACUCGUCUGGUCUCCAUCUGCUCACCAGUCCACCUUUGGAACGUGCAAGCUCUUGGCCUCAUCCUCCCUGACUGAAGAUCAGCCAGAUCGCAUUACCUCCUGACCAAUCAGAUGCCUGGAUCCAUACCUCAUCUCACAGAUGUUGUUGGGAUGCUGUCAUGUUUCCAGAUCUCAACUAUAUUUUAGUUUUUUCUUUAGAAGCCUCUGGAUAUGCACUAAUAAAAUUGUUUUUC